AGUGAACGCUGGCGGCAGGCCUAACACAUGCAAGUCGAGCGGCAGCGCGUCCGACCACCCUCGGGUGGUCGGAUGGCGGCGAGCGGCGGACGGGUGAGGAAUGCAUCGGAAUCUGCCUCGUUGUGGGGGAUAACGUAGGGAAACUUACGCUAAUACCGCAUACGACCUACGGGUGAAAGUGGGGGACCUUCGGGCCUCACGCGAUGAGAUGAGCCGAUGCCGGAUUAGCUAGUUGGCGGGGUAAAGGCCCACCAAGGCGACGAUCCGUAGCUGGUCUGAGAGGAUGAUCAGCCACACUGGAACUGAGACACGGUCCAGACUCCUACGGGAGGCAGCAGUGGGGAAUAUUGGACAAUGGGCGAAAGCCUGAUCCAGCAAUGCCGCGUGAGUGAUGAAGGCCUUAGGGUUGUAAAGCUCUUUUACCUAGGGAUGAUAAUGACAGUACCUGGAGAAUAAG
This 457-nucleotide ribosomal RNA is filed under the name uncultured bacterium. RNAcentral's name for it is "bacterial SSU rRNA". It matches the Rfam family "Bacterial small subunit ribosomal RNA", at positions 29 to 490 of the family's 1533-position model. The record is from RNAcentral.